GACGAACGCUGGCGGCGUGCCUAAUACAUGCAAGUAGAACGCUGAAGGAGGAGCUUGCUCUUCUGGAUGAGUUGCGAACGGGUGAGUAACGCGUAGGUAACCUGCCUGGUAGCGGGGGAUAACUAUUGGAAACGAUAGCUAAUACCGCAUAAGAGUAGAUGUUGCAUGACAUUUGCUUAAAAGGUGCAAUUGCAUCACUACCAGAUGGACCUGCGUUGUAUUAGCUAGUUGGUGGGGUAACGGCUCACCAAGGCGACGAUACAUAGCCGACCUGAGAGGGUGAUCGGCCACACUGGGACUGGGACACGGCCCAGACUCCUACGGGAGGCAGCAGUAGGGAAUCUUCGGCAAUAGACGGAAGUCUGACCGAGCAACGCCGCGUGAGUGAAGAAGGUUUUCGGAUCGUAAAGCUCUGUUGUAAGAGAAGAACGAGUGUGAGAGUGGAAAGUUCACACUGUGACGGUAUCUUACCAGAAAGGGACGGCUAACUACGUG
Molecule: ribosomal RNA, 495 nt
Filed under: uncultured bacterium
Lineage: Bacteria
Description: partial 16S ribosomal RNA
Rfam family: Bacterial small subunit ribosomal RNA
Source: RNAcentral